AAUUGGUGUCGUUUUCGAACAAAAACGAACGGUUUAUUUUUGUCAUUCUUGUCGUAUACUGUUAACUUCAUGUACCCUUAAGAUAUGAAGUGUUUUUCUGUUAUUUUAACCCUUUUGUUUCAGUGACAGUGUUUGCCGCCCUUUGUUUGAAGCAUCCCUCGUUCAAGUCACGUGACCACUACUUCCUGUUGGUGAAAAUCCUUAUCUGCAGAAGAAUGGAACAAGUGGCUUGCUUGUUCACAACUGAAGGAGAUAUAAUAAUAAUGUUCCGGCCAUACUAUGGAACCCGCAGAGACAGAUUCCUGGAGAAAAGCAUUGCAAGGCCAGGCACAAUGGAUCAACCAGCAGGGGGACCAGCUAGACCUCCUGAGCCGGGGUCUACAAGGACUGUCAGAGCGUCAACACGCCAUGUUGGAACGAGUCAACAUGCUGCUAGCCACCGUUGUACCCACCUCGAGCUCCAUGCCCGACCAGGCAUCCACCCAGCCCACACAACCUGCUACUACCAGCAACAUACGGCUUUCCCCGACUUGAACGUUUUUCCAAAGAAAGGAAAGACGUAAGACAAUUCUUGACACAAUGUGAGCUACAUUUCGAGCUAAGAGUUGUGCUUAGCAAGGAUUGUGCACUUUCACUUCUCCUCCACCAACUCUACGAUUGUGGCAUCGAUUUUCUAGCCGGAGUAGCUUUACCAUCGACCCGCAUGUACAAGUUGUCUAACACCGAACUCAAAGCACUAGAAGAAUACAUAAACACAUCAGUAGCUGCGGGUCUCAUUCGCCCUUCAACCUCUCCUGUAGCCGCGGGAUUUUUUUUCGUCGAAAAGAAGGACAAGUCCUUAAGACUUUGUAUAGACUACCGCGCUCUUAAUCAGAUUACUGUCAAGAAUACGUAAGUAUCCUCUUCGACUCCUUGAUUCUGCAUUUACUCCCUUACAGUCAGCAAAGUUUUUUACUAAACUCGAUUUAUGUAGCGCUUACCAUCUCGUUCGCAUCCAAGAAGGGGAUGAAUGGCAGACUGCAUUUAACACUCCUCUCGGACAUUUUGAGUUUCUAGUCAUGCCUUUUGGACUUACUAAUGCACCUGUCGUUUUUCAGGGUUUCAUUCAUGACAUUUUUCUGGACAGGACAGGUCGGUUUCUCUUCGUUUACCUGGACGAUAUAUUAAUUCAUUCAUCAACAUUUGACGGUCAUGUGCAGCAGGUUCGGUUAGUCCUUCAACGACUGCUCAAGAAUAAACUUUUCGUCACGCUGGAAAAA
This is a long non-coding RNA of Nerophis ophidion (straightnose pipefish), 1259 nucleotides long. RefSeq lists it as uncharacterized. The transcript has 3 exons. NCBI's taxonomy places the organism in Eukaryota, Metazoa, Chordata, Actinopteri, Syngnathiformes, Syngnathidae. The record is from RefSeq and is a predicted model, not a curated record.